CGCGUACCCGUGCUCGGCAGCCGCAAUCGCGGUCAAUGGCCACGGGUCGAUUCCCAACCGCGCCGCUUUGUCUUUUUUUCCCCCGCACGGCUGCACUUUCCUUUUCUCCGUUCCCCUCCCUCUCUCGCGGCCGCCUCCCCGUUGCUCGUUCCUCCAGGUCGGGGCUAGGGUUUAGCCGGCGGCGCCCCCUCCAGCCCCCUCCUCCCAGGCACACGCAUGUCCGGCGGCUCCCUCGUCGCGCACGCACGCCCAGGCCCAGGACCGGCGCCCGCAGCGGAUCCGCGAGAGGCGCCGGCAGGCGAGGCCCUGAGGCCUUCUCCUCGCCCGCUGCGGGAUCCGAGGCGCCGCCAGCGGAUCCGCGAGAGGCAAGGUCAGCGGAUACCUGGAGGAAGGAGCUGCACCUCGCCGCCGCCGCCGCCGUCGCCUCGGGAUCCAGCGGGGAGGAAAGGGAGCACACCGCGUACCCUUUCCUCGUCGUCAUCCGAUCCACAGGGCGACGGCCUGACGGCGUGGAGCAAGCGACGAGUGCUACGGGGGCGGAUCUGGGGACGCAAGGGCGCAAGGCAGCAGCCGGCAUCGGGCAGUCGGCGGCGGCGGCUCGAGUCGCACGGCGCAGGCACAGUUCAGCGGCCGGGAGGUUGGGAGGCACGGGCAGGCGACGACGGAAGGGCGGCGAGCAUGCGACGGUGAGGCGCUGCAGGGCAGCAACGAGGCGACUUCAAGUUCGUCCUCCCGUGCAACGACGCCAACAACUGAGGAGUCCUCCAAUAUUUUUUUGUAGGAAGGGAGAUCUAUUAUGGAGGAGGCAUUGUGGCAUUGCCUACGAAAACAGCUUGAUAAUAGAGAACUUGUUGCUUCCCAAUAUCUCCUGGCAUGGACAACAUCAAACCAAAGGGGAAAACCAGGCCAUACAAUCUGCUAUACGUUUGGCGGUUCGAAUAUUGUAUUGCCAUGGACCAUACUUCUAAAGCGAUGGUGUGCAGAAGCUCAGUCAUCCAAGUCAGUUUGAGCUUGAAUGGUGUCGCCGUCCUCGGAGAAGCCACUCCCGCCGCAUUGAAGGGCAGCGACACGAUCCUUCACCUUCAGAUGUUAUCUGGCUGAUCCAUUCAAAGGAUACCGUCAAAAUGAUCUCCUUUGUUCUUGCCACUUCAAGCCAGCUGGGUAACACCUACUCUUUCAAGAUGUUUCCUUCCCUUGUUCAUGAAUCUGAGUAAUGCCAAGCUGCAUGUUUACCGAUUUGAUUAUGCUUUAGGCAGAGAAUACAGAUUUAGUAUUCUUAUACACUGGGUCAACUUUAUUUAAGCAUAAGAGAUCAAAAGUAUUGUUCUGUAACCGCUUAGAAUGCAUUAAAAUGUCCUUAUAAUAUGCUUGAAGCCUGGAAUGUAUUUUCAUACCAACUCAAUUAAGAAAUUAGAAUGCAUUAGAAUGUUUUAAGAUUAUAUUGUUAUAAAAUGUCUAUAGGUACAGCAUGCAUUAUAGUGCUCAUCUUGUUCGGUAGAAAACCUUCAGAUUUCUUAGCCUGAAUGAUGUGCAGAUAACACAAUUCUUAUGAAUCACCCUAUGUUGCUGUGGUGAAAAUAAAUCAUUCAGUUUAGUAUACAACAAAAACUGAAUUACUUACCCUUGUGGCAGUUAGUUACUGAGCCAGAGAGUUCCGAGACAUUUGUUGUGCUAUGCCGUCUUACGUUGCAAUAAUGUUGCUAUGGGUUUUUUAUUCAUUAAGAAAACAUUUUUCAUGGUUGUGGAGGUCCUUAGAAAAUUUAAUCUGCGGCAUUAUCAAAAUCAUGCUGUGUAAAGGUUGGAUAUAACAAAAGCUUCUUGGUAUAAGAAUUGAUGUUUGUAACUAUGCUUAUUUGUUCUCUCCUAUCAGUCGCUCGAAAAUCAGGAUUUCAUGUGCUAUAUGGAGAUGGUUCAUGCCCUGCAAUUCUGCAAUCUGCCAUCAUAUUGUUUCCAAAAGCAUAAUGAGAAAACAAUUGGGGUUGUAAACUGAGUAAUUGAAAAUAAAUAAACAUCCCAUCCUCCUUAGAAAACCACUUUCUUUGUGAAGAAUUUUGAAAGGACCAGAAGAAAGCACUUGUCCAUGAGAAUGGGAGGUCACAGCAACCACCAAGCUUAAUAGGUGAGCUAUGUUUGUUUUCUACAUUUUGAAAGGACCAGAAGAAAGCAGUGAGAUGCAUGUUUCAGGCAAUGCGACAACACAUGCUUGUGCCAGUAGUCAUUUCUGCUGCUCCAUGUAAAGUGAUUCAUUUGGCAUAAUAAACUGCAAUGUUCUGAAUGUUUUACAAUAGAAACAGCGAGUCACAUAUUUUAGGAAAUGGUACAGAACUUGCUUAUGUCAGUAGCCAUUUCUGCUGGUCUAUGUGAAGUGAUUAUUGUUAGGGUAUGAUGCAAAUUCAUUUUUUUUCUAAUUCUUUUCUUCAGCCAAGGUUUAUCCAGCUUUAUCUCUUAUAUUUAUUGUGUGGACAGAUCCAUACUACGAGCCAGUCUUCCCCGACAUAGGCCUACACCCAGGCUAUCAGUACUAUAGACAAGGAGCUCGAGUACCUUAAGCAGGCUUUCGAGAUUUUUUGAAGCUUGGCAGUGCAAACCGGAUAAAUGAGAGGUGCUUGGAACUGCAAAAGAACAAGAAGAGCAGCAAAACUAAGUGACGCUGGCCACCAUCGUUGGAGAAGCCGAAGCUAUUGCAAUUUAGUCCAUGUGUAUAUCUGUAAUUUGGAUGAUUCACGUUGUGUCAUGGCAUACUUAUCGAUAACACCCUAUAUAAUUAUAUGGUGUAUAGCACCUUGCCGUAAUGGUGUCUUUGAUCUUUUGUUUGGUCUUUUGCAGUUAUCACUAAUAUAUUAUAAUUUUAAAA
Molecule: RNA transcript, 2854 nt
Organism: Panicum virgatum (switchgrass)
Lineage: Eukaryota; Viridiplantae; Streptophyta; Magnoliopsida; Poales; Poaceae
Exons: 8
Source: RefSeq, a predicted model, not a curated record